Molecule: ribosomal RNA, 466 nt
Filed under: uncultured bacterium
Lineage: Bacteria
Description: partial 16S ribosomal RNA
Rfam family: Bacterial small subunit ribosomal RNA
Source: RNAcentral
GAUGAACGCUGGCGGCGUGCUUAACACAUGCAAGUCGAACGAUGAAGCCCAGCUUGCUGGGUGGAUUAGUGGUGAACGGGUGAGUAACACGUGAGUAACCUGCCCUUAACUCUGGGAUAAGCCUGGGAAACUGGGUCUAAUACCGGAUAGGAGCGCCUACCGCAUGGUGGGUGUUGGAAAGAUUUAUCGGUUUUGGAUGGACUCACGGCCUAUCAGCUUGUUGGUGAGGUAAUGGCUCACCAAGGCGACGACGGGUAGCCGGCCUGAGAGGGUGACCGGCCACACUGGGACUGAGACACGGCCCAGACUCCUACGGGAGGCAGCAGUGGGGAAUAUUGCACAAUGGGCGAAAGCCUGAUGCAGCGACGCCGCGUGAGGGAUGACGGCCUUCGGGUUGUAAACCUCUUUCAGUAGGGAAGAAGCGAAAGUGACGGUACCUGCAGAAGAAGCACCGGCUAACUACGUG